GUCAUGAGAUAUCAAGUCUUGUAUCCAGGAGACAGCACCAACAAACUCCUACGGAAGUGCUAGACUGUGGUUCCUUUUCCAGACAUAGACAGCUGAACUAAUUGGAAGAUGGAUUCAGAGUAUAAAACAAUUCAGAACAGAAAUCAGAAAUCGGUGCAAGGAAUUACAGGAGGUGGCAAAAACGUAAAGUCUGCAAGCAAACUUCAAGUGAGGUUCAUGGAGGAUGAUUCGCAAUUAACCUGCAAUAUUCCCCUGGAUAUAUAUGGGAGACCUGAAACCUAUCGCUGGAAGACAGAAUAUGAUGAGGCAUUUAACAUGGAUUCCGAGGGCAAGUGGAAGUGACAAAUCCGGGGAUGUGGGAAGUACAAUGGAUGAAUAAAGGU
Molecule: long non-coding RNA, 383 nt
Organism: Pelobates fuscus (common spadefoot toad)
Lineage: Eukaryota; Metazoa; Chordata; Amphibia; Anura; Pelobatidae
Exons: 4
Source: RefSeq, a predicted model, not a curated record